This 247-nucleotide ribosomal RNA is filed under the name uncultured Bdellovibrio sp. RNAcentral's name for it is "partial 16S ribosomal RNA". It matches the Rfam family "Bacterial small subunit ribosomal RNA", at positions 210 to 456 of the family's 1533-position model. Lineage: Bacteria; Pseudomonadati; Bdellovibrionota; Bdellovibrionia; Bdellovibrionales; Pseudobdellovibrionaceae. The record is from RNAcentral.
GUUUUUCGCUCUAAGAUGAGUCCGCGUAAGAUUAGCUAGUUGGUGAGGUAACGGCUCACCAAGGCGACGAUCUUUAACUGGUCUGAGAGGAUGAUCAGUCACACUGGAACUGAGACACGGUCCAGACUCCUACGGGAGGCAGCAGUAGGGAAUAUUGCACAAUGGGGGAAACCCUGAUGCAGCGACGCCGCGUGAGUGAUGAAGGCCUUCGGGUCGUAAAGCUCUGUCGCAGGGGAAUAACACAAUG